GGAGAGAUGACCGAGUGGCCGAAGGUGCACGACUGGAAAUCGUGUGUGCGCUAAUCCCGCACCGUGGGUUCGACUCCCACUCUCUCCGCCA
Molecule: transfer RNA, 91 nt
Filed under: Acidobacteriota bacterium
Lineage: Bacteria; Pseudomonadati; Acidobacteriota
Also listed under: 4 other names
Description: tRNA-Ser
Rfam family: tRNA
About the family: Transfer RNA (tRNA) molecules are approximately 80 nucleotides in length. Their secondary structure includes four short double-helical elements and three loops (D, anti-codon, and T loops).
Source: RNAcentral